This 500-nucleotide ribosomal RNA is filed under the name uncultured bacterium. Its description in RNAcentral is "partial 16S ribosomal RNA". It matches the Rfam family "Bacterial small subunit ribosomal RNA", at positions 30 to 523 of the family's 1533-position model. The record is from RNAcentral.
AUUGAACGCUGGCGGAAUGCUUUACACAUGCAAGUCGAACGGCAGCACGGACUUCGGGCUGGUGGCGAGUGGCGAACGGGUGCGUAAUGUAUAGGAACGUAUAUAAUAAUGGGGGAUAACUAGUCGAAAGAUUAGCUAAUACCACAUACGACCUAUGGGGGAAAGCUAGGGAACUUCGGGCCUGGCGUUAAUGGAGCGGCAGCUAUCUGAUUAGCUAGGUGGUGAGGUAAAAGCUCACCAAGGCGACGAUCAGUAGCUGGCCUGAGAGGACGACCAGCCAGACUGGAACUGAGACACGGUCCAGACUCCUACGGGAGGCAGCAGUGGGGAAUUUUGGACAAUGGGCGAAAGCCUGAUCCAGCCAUUCCGCGUGAGUGAAGAAGGCCUUCGGGUUGUAAAGCUCUUUCGCAAGAGAAGAAAACUUACCCUCUAACAUAGGGUGAGGCUGACGGUAUCUUGAUAAGAAGCACCGGCUAACUACGCGCCAGCCGCCGCGGUAA